UUUAGGGAGACCAUCUGAUACUCGACCGAACCUAAACAAUAGGUCGUUGUCAGUCAUCCCUGGUCGUUCGAGGAAUAGAUGUCAAAGCUUUCAAACUAUUAACUGGUUCGGAACUCGCGGGCUAUUAGCUCAGUUGGUUAGAGCGCACCCCUGAUAAGGGUGAGGUCCCUGGUUCAAAUCCAGGAUGGCCCACCUGGAAAAAAGUGAUGAAUUGUCAGUAAUGAGUAAUGGAUAAUCUUAGAUUAAUUCAGGACUCAUCAAAUCAAAAUCAGAACUUGCUUAGUGGGGGUAUAGCUCAGUUGGUAGAGCGCCUGCCUUGCACGCAGGAAGUCAGCGGUUCGAGUCCGCUUACCUCCACUCUCACUAACUAGAACCAACAAAAAAACGCAAAGAAAUAGAAAUCAGCACCCAGACUAACUUGGUAAAAAAAGAAGUCGGAAUGCUGGAGUCUAGAACUCUAGUCAGAACCUUGAAAACUGCAUAGAAAUUAAGUCAUCAAAGCGUGUCAGUCAUCCGAGCAAUCGGAGCAUCUGACAAGCGACCACCAUCAAAAAAUCAAGUGUCAA
RNAcentral lists this transfer RNA (566 nucleotides) under Microcoleus vaginatus P006. Its description in RNAcentral is "partial 16S-23S ribosomal RNA intergenic spacer". The stretch from base 285 to 357 matches the Rfam family "tRNA". The record is from RNAcentral. Lineage: Bacteria; Bacillati; Cyanobacteriota; Cyanophyceae; Oscillatoriales; Microcoleaceae.